Molecule: unclassified non-coding RNA, 380 nt
Filed under: plant metagenome
Description: partial contains 5.8S ribosomal RNA, internal transcribed spacer 2, and large subunit ribosomal RNA
Source: RNAcentral
AACGUGUCGCUGCGUGUGCGGUAUUCGUUCUAGUGGCUGCGGACAGCGUAAACUGAAGACAGAGGAUGUAUGUCUACGGUGCCGAGGCCGUUUCUCACCCCUGAGGAGUACCUGGAGAUCGAGCGGGCCGCCGAACUCAAGAGCGAGUACUUCGAGGGCCAGAUGUUUGCGAUGUCCGGUGGCUCAUUGACGCACAGCGCACUUCAAAUCGCACUUGCGCUGGUAGUUGGUGGCCGACUGAAUCGCAGGAAGUGUUUAAUGCUGAGCAGCGACAUGCGCAUUCAGGUGAGCGCUACCGGGCUGUACACCUACCCCGAUUUCGCGGUCGUCUGCGGCGAAGCGCGCAUGGCCGAUUCGCAAGGCGAGACGUUGGUCAACCC